RNAcentral lists this non-coding RNA (85 nucleotides) under Dehalococcoidia bacterium. RNAcentral describes it as "c-di-GMP sequence". It matches the Rfam family "c-di-GMP-I riboswitch aptamer". From Rfam's summary of the family: GEMM was predicted in a large-scale screen for bacterial structured RNA regulatory elements. Lineage: Bacteria; Bacillati; Chloroflexota; Dehalococcoidia. The record is from RNAcentral.
UCCCGAUAAAGGCAAACCGCCCGAAAGGGCGAGGCGCAAAGCUUCGGGCCUAAAGCCGAAAGGCUACGGCUGCCGAGCCGCCGAA